This is a non-coding RNA of Carica papaya (papaya), 628 nucleotides long. NCBI's taxonomy places the organism in Eukaryota, Viridiplantae, Streptophyta, Magnoliopsida, Brassicales, Caricaceae. The record is from RefSeq and is a predicted model, not a curated record.
ACUAAUCGCAGCGAUUGCGUUGGAAUCCAUCGCCAACCCUCCAUAGGAAUAAUUCUAAAAUUAGGAAAAUCUCAAAUACGAAAAAGAAGGAUCACGUGGCCAAGUAUCUGAAGAACAGCGAGAUUCACAUGGGAGCAGGGAGAUUAAUCCAACGACAGUUGCACCAGCUCACGCUUCUAGAAUUGGUCUCCAUUUCAAACGCUUCUUACGAGGGAUUUCUUCCUUCCCUCACCAAAGAGAACGGGAAGCAGUUAAGCUUGUGAAUUUGCCCAAUUUAUCUCUGGAUGUUCUCAGGCUACAGGAUUUUCCUCUCGAACAAAAGGUCUUUUCGUUUUCUAUUCCGAGAGAGAGAUGGACUAAAGAGUUGUUUAAGCUACAAGGUGGAUAGUCCUAAUUCCUUGAAUUAACAGAGUUUGUUUAUAGUGGAAUCGGGGUUUGAGGUCAGUAUUUAUAGAUGGGUUCUUCACAAGAUCUACCUUGUCACCAAACGUGGCGGGACUUGUUGAUGGUUCAACGAAAAGAGAGAUUUCGUAUGUUGAUUCUUUGCCUAUUUAUGUUAACGAGCUCAUUGCUGGAGGGCUGCUGGGGCCUUUGCUAAGACUGCUGUCGCACCCUUGGAACGGAUAAA